UAGAAUUUAGGUUAAGAUAAACCAGUUGCCUUCAAAGCAGUUAAUAAGCAUCAAGCUUAAUUCUAA
RNAcentral lists this transfer RNA (66 nucleotides) under Ophiocten ludwigi. RNAcentral's name for it is "tRNA-Trp". It matches the Rfam family "tRNA". Rfam says of the family: Transfer RNA (tRNA) molecules are approximately 80 nucleotides in length. Their secondary structure includes four short double-helical elements and three loops (D, anti-codon, and T loops). The record is from RNAcentral. Lineage: Eukaryota; Metazoa; Echinodermata; Ophiuroidea; Amphilepidida; Ophiuridae.